Erinaceus europaeus (western European hedgehog) is the source of this 164-nucleotide non-coding RNA. The record is from Rfam. Lineage: Eukaryota; Metazoa; Chordata; Mammalia; Eulipotyphla; Erinaceidae.
AUACUUACCUGGCAGGGGAUAUACCAUGAUCAUGAAGGUGGUUUUCCCAAGGUGAGGCUUAUCCAUUGCACUUUGGAUGUGCUGACCCCUGCAAUUUCCCCAAACGUGGGAAACUAGACUGCAUAAUUUAUGGUAGUGGGGGACUGCGUUUGCACUCUCGUCUG